UACGUAGGGUGCAAGCGUUGUCCGGAAUUAUUGGGCGUAAAGAGCUCGUAGGCGGUUUGUCGCGUCGGCUGUGAAAACCUGGGGCUUAACUCCGGGCCUGCAGCCGAUACGGGCAGACUAGAGUUCGGCAGGGGAGACUGGAAUUCCUUGUGUAGCGGUGAAAUGCGCAGAUAUCAGGAGGAACACCGGUGGCGAAGGCGGGUCUCUGGGCAAUUCCUGACGCUGAGGCGCGAAAGCGUGGGGAGCAAACGGG
This 253-nucleotide ribosomal RNA is filed under the name uncultured bacterium. RNAcentral's name for it is "partial 16S ribosomal RNA". It matches the Rfam family "Bacterial small subunit ribosomal RNA", at positions 524 to 776 of the family's 1533-position model. The record is from RNAcentral.